This 391-nucleotide ribosomal RNA is filed under the name uncultured bacterium. Its description in RNAcentral is "bacterial SSU rRNA". It matches the Rfam family "Bacterial small subunit ribosomal RNA", at positions 28 to 418 of the family's 1533-position model. The record is from RNAcentral.
GACGAACGCUGGCGGCGUGCUUAACACAUGCAAGUCGAGCGGUAAGGCCCUUUCGGGGGUACGACGAGCGGCGAACGGGUGAGUAACACGUGGGUGACCUGCCCUCCAGCUCUGGGAUAAGCCUGGGAAACCGGGUCUAAUACUGGAUAUGACUCCAUGACGCAUGUUGUGGGGUGGAAAGCCUUGUGCGGCUGAGGAUGGGCCCGCGGCCUAUCAGCUUGUUGGUGGGGUGAUGGCCUACCAAGGCGACGACGGGUAGCCGGCCUGAGAGGGCGACCGGCCACACUGGGACUGAGACACGGCCCAGACUCCUACGGGAGGCAGCAGUGGGGAAUCUUGCGCAAUGGGCGAAAGCCUGACGCAGCGACGCCGCGUGAGGGAUGACGGCCUC